Long non-coding RNA from Armigeres subalbatus, 1608 nucleotides. RefSeq lists it as uncharacterized. The record is from RefSeq and is a predicted model, not a curated record. NCBI's taxonomy places the organism in Eukaryota, Metazoa, Arthropoda, Insecta, Diptera, Culicidae. The transcript is spliced from 3 exons.
UACCUAUUUAUGGGUACUUCAUUCACUCAUAUAUGGGUAAAUGCAACUAUACCAAUAUUAUUAGUAAAACCUACCCAAAAAAUCGGUUAAGUUUACUGAUAUUCUGAAGAAACCGACUUUACCUAUAUUUGAGUAAUCACAUUUACCCAUAUUUGGGUGAAAAAUUAAACAUAAACAAAUCCGAACUGGAUGGCCGCCGCGUCAACGUCGUAGUCGCAAGUUUUUAUGAUUUCUGAUACAAUCCCUGUUAAUAAUUGUUGUUCCGAGUGCAUGCAGUUCUUGCAGAGGUUGCAACCUCUUGACGAUCUUUUCCGGUCCCACACCGUACCAACAUAUCCGCCUCUUCGCAGGCGCGGUCGACGACUAUACAGCAGAUAUCAAGAAUAGAAACAAACUCUCCAACCAUCGGUGAAAUAUUUUCUGCUCACAGCUGUGAAUUUGUGACCCAAAACGACUCGAUACGUUGCUUCAAUCGACUCGCUACGUUGUAUCAAUCAAUCCUUCAGCAACCGCCUCGGCUGCAUAGCUGUUAAGAUAAAUGGAUAUUCUCUUCCGACAAGUCUCAGCUCAUCGCACUAUAAUUGCACAGCAAUUAGUUGCAAGAAAAACGAACAUCUGUGCUAAAGAAAUGAGAGUGGAAAUGAUGAAGGCACCCAACACAUCGGACAAACCUAGCCGGAAGAUCCUGCGUUCCAAUUGGCAUACUGCUUCGUCUUGUUCCAGAUCGUCAGCCGCGAUGGUAGUGGCCGCGAUGGCGACAAGAAAAACAGAUUUAUUAACUGGUAAUGAGCUCAUACGAAUGAACUGGUAAUGAGCAUCGAAAGUCCAGACGAUGGAUCCGUUUAAGAUACAGGAAGCGCAAGAGGAAAACGGUAUGUGACCGCAACAGGGGAUUCUGAUCUUUUUGUAUCAAGUAUUGACAAAUUUGGUUUGGAUCCGAUGCUACUGCUGAAGCCGGAUUGCAAAUUCUUGAUUCGAUUGAUCUUUUUGUGAUCGGUGACAAUUGUUUUAUUGAUCGUUCCAACAACAUCUGUUCGUCCGGCACAGUUACCAGUUUCUGAAUGGCAUACCGUCAGACAUCCACACCAGCUAUUGUUGCUUCUGUUGUCAGCUAACUGGUUUCCGACUUGCUGCCGGAAGCUGCUGCUAUACUGCCACGAAGCUGCUGCUAAGGGAUAUUCCGACCCGUCCGAAAUUACUGUUAUCAGUUCCUGCUGCUGGUGAUGUAGCAUCCAGCAGCAUGAAAUAUAAGAUUUAAUAUUGAUGAAACUAUUUUAUGAAAAUGGAAAGCAUGCAUUUAAACCAGUUGAAUAGUUUAUAGUCGUAUGAUCAAUAAAAUUUGUUGCUAAAUAUUUAUGAAAAUAUAAAUUUCAUUUAAUACGAUUUUCGAAACGAAAACAUAAAAAUAUCACCCAUAUGUAAGUGAAUUUUACCUAUAAUAGAGUACUCAUAAAUAGGUAAACAUUACUAAUAUUUCCAUGAACCACUUGUACGCAAAUAUGGGUAAAUGGCAUUUCACCCAUAAAUACGUAUGUGCACUUUUUGGUGAUUAUGGGUACUGUUCACCCAUAUUUGGGUGAACUGAACUAAGCGUGCAGGUAGAAACUA